This 607-nucleotide ribosomal RNA is filed under the name uncultured fungus. RNAcentral describes it as "eukaryotic LSU rRNA". The stretch from base 234 to 387 matches the Rfam family "5.8S ribosomal RNA". Lineage: Eukaryota; Fungi. The record is from RNAcentral.
CUUGGUCAUUUAGAGGAAGUAAAAGUCGUAACAAGGUCUCCGUAGGUGAACCUGCGGAGGGAUCAUUACACAAAUAUGGAGGCGGGCUGGAACCUCUCGGGGUUACAGCCUUGCUGAAUUAUUCACCCUUGUCUUUUGCGUACUUCUUGUUUCCUUGGUGGGUUCGCCCACCACUAGGACAAACAUAAACCUUUUGUAAUUGCAAUCAGCGUCAGUAACAAAUUAAUAAUUACAACUUUCAACAACGGAUCUCUUGGUUCUGGCAUCGAUGAAGAACGCAGCGAAAUGCGAUAAGUAGUGUGAAUUGCAGAAUUCAGUGAAUCAUCGAAUCUUUGAACGCACAUUGCGCCCUUUGGUAUUCCAAAGGGCAUGCCUGUUCGAGCGUCAUUUGUACCCUCAAGCUUUGCUUGGUGUUGGGCGUCUUGUCUCUAGCUUUGCUGGAGACUCGCCUUAAAGUAAUUGGCAGCCGGCCUACUGGUUUCGGAGCGCAGCACAAGUCGCACUCUCUAUCAGCAAAGGUCUAGCAUCCAUUAAGCCUUUUUUUCAACUUUUGACCUCGGAUCAGGUAGGGAUACCCGCUGAACUUAAGCAUAUCAAUAAGCGGAGG